Molecule: ribosomal RNA, 253 nt
Filed under: uncultured bacterium
Lineage: Bacteria
Description: partial 16S ribosomal RNA
Rfam family: Bacterial small subunit ribosomal RNA
Source: RNAcentral
UACAGAGGGGGCCAGCGUUGUUCGGAAUUACUGGGCGUAAAGCGCACGUAGGCGGCUUUGUAAGUUAGAGGUGAAAGCCCGGGGCUCAACUCCGGAAUUGCCUUUAAGACUGCAUCGCUUGAACAUCGGAGAGGUGAGUGGAAUUCCGAGUGUAGAGGUGAAAUUCGUAGAUAUUCGGAAGAACACCAGUGGCGAAGGCGACUCACUGGACGAUUGUUGACGCUGAGGUGCGAAAGCGUGGGGAGCAAACAGG